This 301-nucleotide ribosomal RNA is filed under the name uncultured bacterium. RNAcentral describes it as "partial 16S ribosomal RNA". It matches the Rfam family "Bacterial small subunit ribosomal RNA", at positions 509 to 807 of the family's 1533-position model. The record is from RNAcentral.
CAGCCGCCGCGGUAAAACAGAGGGUGCAAGCGUUAAUCGGAAUUACUGGGCGUAAAGCGCGCGUAGGUGGUUUGUUAAGUUGGAUGUGAAAGCCCCGGGCUCAACCUGGGAACUGCAUCCAAAACUGGCAAGCUAGAGUACGGUAGAGGGUGUUGGAAUUUCCUGUGUAGCGGUGAAAUGCGUAGAUAUAGGAAGGAACACCAGUGGCGAAGGCGACCACCUGGACUGAUACUGACACUGAGGUGCGAAAGCGUGGGGAGCAAACAGGAUUAGAGACCCCGGUAGUCCCUGUCUCUUAUAC